RNAcentral lists this ribosomal RNA (253 nucleotides) under uncultured bacterium. RNAcentral's name for it is "partial 16S ribosomal RNA". It matches the Rfam family "Bacterial small subunit ribosomal RNA", at positions 524 to 776 of the family's 1533-position model. The record is from RNAcentral.
UACGUAGGGGGCAAGCGUUGUCCGGAUUUAUUGGGCGUAAAGAGCGUGUAGGCGGCCAGGUAGGUCCGUUGUGAAAACUCGAGGCUCAACCUCGAGACGUCGGCGGAAACCCUCUGGCUAGAGUCCGGAAGAGGAGAGUGGGAUUCCUGGUGUAGCGGUGAAAUGCGCAGAUAUCAGGAAGAACACCCGUGGCGAAGGCGGCUCUCUGGGACGGUACUGACGCUGAGACGCGAAAGCGUGGGGAGCAAACAGG